GGUCACGGUGCCGCCUUGAAUUACAAUUCCGAUCGAGCGCGAGCUGAAUCCUUUGCAGACGACUUAAAUACGCGACGGGUAUUGUAAGGGGUAGAGUGGCCUUGCUGCCACGAUCCUCUGAGAUUCACCCUUUGUCGCUCCGAUUCGU
RNAcentral lists this non-coding RNA (148 nucleotides) under Ipomoea nil (Japanese morning glory). RNAcentral's name for it is "Eukaryotic large subunit ribosomal RNA". It matches the Rfam family "Eukaryotic large subunit ribosomal RNA", at positions 3253 to 3401 of the family's 3401-position model. The record is from Rfam by way of RNAcentral. Lineage: Eukaryota; Viridiplantae; Streptophyta; Magnoliopsida; Solanales; Convolvulaceae.